AUUGGCAACUAUAGUGCUGUGGUCCCACCUGAUUCCAUCCCGAACUCAGAAGUGAAACGCAGUAACGCCGAUGGUAGUGUGGGGUUUCCCCAUGUGAGAGUAGGGCAUUGCCAAUU
RNAcentral lists this ribosomal RNA (116 nucleotides) under Actinobacillus indolicus. Lineage: Bacteria; Pseudomonadati; Pseudomonadota; Gammaproteobacteria; Pasteurellales; Pasteurellaceae. The record is from RNAcentral.